UUAAAUGAAUUGACGGGGCCCGCACAAGCGGAGGAACAUGUGGUUAAUUCGAUGAUACGCGAGGAACCUUACCUGGGCUUAAAUGGGGAGUGACAGCUGUCGAAAGAUGGUUUUCUUCGGACACUCUUCAAGGUGCUGCAUGGUUGUCGUCAGCUCGUGCCGUGAGGUGUCGGGUUAAGUCCCAUAACGAGCGCAACCCUUACCGUUAGUUACCAUCAGGUUAAGCUGGGGACUCUAGCGGGACUGCCACCGUAAGGUGAGAGGAAGUGGGGAUGACGUCAAAUCAGCACGGCCCUUAUGUCCAGGGCUACACACGUGUUACAAUGGCCAGUACAAAGGGCAGCUACCGGGUGACCGGAUGCUAAUCUCUAAAGCUGGUCUCAGUUCGGAUCGAAGUCUGCAACCCGACUUCGUGAAGCUGGAUUCGCUAGUAAUCGCGCAUCAGCCAUGGCGCGGUGAAUACGUUCCCGGGCCUU
RNAcentral lists this ribosomal RNA (476 nucleotides) under uncultured Sphingobacteriales bacterium. RNAcentral's name for it is "bacterial SSU rRNA". It matches the Rfam family "Bacterial small subunit ribosomal RNA", at positions 901 to 1382 of the family's 1533-position model. The record is from RNAcentral. Lineage: Bacteria; Pseudomonadati; Bacteroidota; Sphingobacteriia; Sphingobacteriales.